Molecule: ribosomal RNA, 305 nt
Filed under: uncultured bacterium
Lineage: Bacteria
Description: partial 16S ribosomal RNA
Rfam family: Bacterial small subunit ribosomal RNA
Source: RNAcentral
ACAGCAGUAGCCGCGGUAAUACGGAGGAUCCAAGCGUUAUCCGGAAUCAUUGGGUUUAAAGGGUCCGUAGGCGGUCUUGUAAGUCAGUGGUGAAAGCCCAUCGCUCAACGGUGGAACGGCCAUUGAUACUGCAGGACUUGAAUUAUUGGGAAGUAACUAGAAUAUGUAGUGUAGCGGUGAAAUGCUUAGAGAUUACAUGGAAUACCAAUUGCGAAGGCAGGUUACUACCAAUUGAUUGACGCUGAUGGACGAAAGCGUGGGUAGCGAACAGGAUUAGAUACCCGCGUAGUCCCUGUCUCUUAUAA